GCGGGAGUAGCUCAGUUGGUAGAGCGCANUUGGUAGAGCGCAACCUUGCCAAGGUUGAGGUCGCGAGUUCGAGCCUCGUCUCCCGCUCCA
This 90-nucleotide transfer RNA is filed under the name Paraburkholderia aspalathi. RNAcentral's name for it is "tRNA-Gly". It matches the Rfam family "tRNA". Rfam says of the family: Transfer RNA (tRNA) molecules are approximately 80 nucleotides in length. Their secondary structure includes four short double-helical elements and three loops (D, anti-codon, and T loops). The record is from RNAcentral. Lineage: Bacteria; Pseudomonadati; Pseudomonadota; Betaproteobacteria; Burkholderiales; Burkholderiaceae. RNAcentral also lists the same sequence under 1 other name.